AUUGAACGCUGGCGGCAGGCCUAACACAUGCAAGUCGAACGAGUGGCGGACGGGUGAGUAAUGUCUGGGCAACUGCGCGAUGGAGGGGGAUAACUACUGGAAACGGUAGCUAAUACUGCAUACAACCCGUUGUGCCCAGAGUGGAUUAGCUAGUAGGUGUGGUAACGGCUCACCUAGGCGACGCUCCUUAGCUGGUCUGAGAGGAGGACCGGCCACACUGGUACUGAGACACGGUCCAGACUCCUACGGGAGGCAGCAGUGGGGAAUAUUGCGCAAUGGGCGAAAGCCUGAUGGAGCCAUGCCGCGUGAAUGAAGAAGGUCUUCGGGGUGUAAAGUACUUUCAGCGAGGAGGCGUUACUCACAGAAGAAGCACCGGCUAACUCCGUGCCAGCCGCCGCGGUAAUUC
This 406-nucleotide ribosomal RNA is filed under the name uncultured bacterium. RNAcentral's name for it is "partial 16S ribosomal RNA". It matches the Rfam family "Bacterial small subunit ribosomal RNA", at positions 30 to 526 of the family's 1533-position model. The record is from RNAcentral.